This 128-nucleotide non-coding RNA is filed under the name Veillonella magna. Its description in RNAcentral is "Glycine riboswitch". It matches the Rfam family "Glycine riboswitch aptamer", at positions 9 to 86 of the family's 94-position model. Rfam says of the family: This family represents the bacterial glycine riboswitch. Glycine riboswitches usually consist of two metabolite-binding aptamers domains with similar structures in tandem. The aptamers cooperatively bind glycine to regulate the expression of downstream genes. Lineage: Bacteria; Bacillati; Bacillota; Negativicutes; Veillonellales; Veillonellaceae. The record is from RNAcentral.
ACACAACUCUGGAGAGUCCCUUAAAUGGGCGCCGAAGGUGCACGGGACUGAUCGAUGUAACACGAUAAACCAUCAUUGGAAUGUCAGUUACGAAUCAAUCCCUUAUCUCUCAGGCCAAAGGACAGAGC